RNAcentral lists this ribosomal RNA (524 nucleotides) under uncultured bacterium. RNAcentral describes it as "partial 16S ribosomal RNA". It matches the Rfam family "Bacterial small subunit ribosomal RNA", at positions 355 to 896 of the family's 1533-position model. The record is from RNAcentral.
UGGGGAAUAUUGGACAAUGGGGGCAACCCUGAUCCAGCAAUGCCGCGUGUGUGAAGAAGGUCUUCGGAUUGUAAAGCACUUUCGACGGGGACGAUGAUGACGGUACCCGUAGAAGAAGCCCCGGCUAACUUCGUGCCAGCAGCCGCGGUAAUACGAAGGGGGCUAGCGUUGCUCGGAAUGACUGGGCGUAAAGGGCGUGUAGGCGGUUUACACAGUCAGAUGUGAAAUCCCCGGGCUUAACCUGGGAGCUGCAUUUGAUACGUGUAGACUAGAGUGUGAGAGAGGGUUGUGGAAUUCCCAGUGUAGAGGUGAAAUUCGUAGAUAUUGGGAAGAACACCGGUGGCGAAGGCGGCAACCUGGCUCAUGACUGACGCUGAGGCGCGAAAGCGUGGGGAGCAAACAGGAUUAGAUACCCUGGUAGUCCACGCUGUAAACGACGUGUGCUAGAUGUUGGGUAACUUUGUUAUUCAGUGUCGCAGUUAACGCGUUAAGCACACCGCCUGGGGAGUACGGCCGCAAGGUUG